Molecule: ribosomal RNA, 931 nt
Filed under: uncultured bacterium
Lineage: Bacteria
Description: bacterial SSU rRNA
Rfam family: Bacterial small subunit ribosomal RNA
Source: RNAcentral
CUACACAUGCAAGUCGAGCGAGAAGUUUUGAAAAGAUUCUUCGGAUGAAAUUUAAAAUGGAAAGCGGCGGACGGGUGAGUAACGCGUAGGCAACCUGCCCCAUACAAAGGGAUAGCAUUUGGAAACGAAUAUUAAUACCUUAUGAAACUUAACUAGUGCAUGCUAGGUAGGUCAAAGAUUUAUCGGUAUGGGAUGGGCCUGCGUCUGAUUAGCUAGUUGGUGAGGUAACGGCUCACCAAGGCGACGAUCAGUAGCCGACCUGAGAGGGUGAACGGCCACAUUGGAACUGGGACACGGUCCAAACUCCUACGGGAGGCAGCAGUGGGGAAUAUUGCACAAUGGGGGAAACCCUGAUGCAGCAACGCCGCGUGAACGAUGAAGGCCUUUGGGUCGUAAAGUUCUGUUCUAGGUGAUGAAAACUGACAGUAACCUAGGAGAAAGCCCCGGCUAACUCCGUGCCAGCAGCCGCGGUAAUACGGAGGGGGCAAGCGUUAUCCGGAAUUAUUGGGCGUAAAGGGUACGUAGGUGGCCUUUUAAGCGUAGGGUAUAAGGCAAUGGCUCAACCAUUGUUCGACCUAUGAACUGGAAGGCUUGAGUGCAGGAGAGGAAAGCGGAAUUCCUAGUGUAGCGGUGGAAUGCAUAGAUAUUAGGAGGAACAUCAGCGGCGAAGGCGGCUUUCUGGACUGCAACUGACACUGAGGUACGAAAGCGUGGGGAGCAAACAGGAUUAGAUACCCUGGUAGUCCACGCCGUAAACGAUGAGCACUAGGUGUCGGGGUCGUAAGGCUUCGGUGCCGUAGUUAACGCAUUAAGUGCUCCGCCUGGGGAGUACGCACGCAAGUGUGAAACUCAAAGGAAUUGACGGGGACCCGCACAAGCAGCGGAGCAUGUGGUUUAAUUCGAAGCAACGCGAAGAACCUUACCAGGACUU